RNAcentral lists this long non-coding RNA (347 nucleotides) under Physcomitrium patens. Its description in RNAcentral is "long non-coding RNA (PPAT_LNC010801)". Lineage: Eukaryota; Viridiplantae; Streptophyta; Bryopsida; Funariales; Funariaceae. The record is from RNAcentral.
AUCUUUGUAAAGAUUUUUGCUUGGCUAAGUUGAUCAAGAAGUCCAAAUAUCAACAGCAAUGGAUAUCUUUUCUUUACCAUGAUUUUAUUAAGAUUACAAUAAUUGACACACAUUCAUAAGGAUCCACAAAUAAUAUCAAAAAUUCACAAAUAAUAUCUGAGUACCAAUUGGUAACUUGGAAUGUUGAAUAAAAUUCUUAGCUAGAUUUUUUUUAAUGUACUCUUUUAAAGUUGCAAGUUCAUUUUGGAAUAAAUUGUAGAUGGAUCUAAACAAUGGUUGAGCAUCUUCUUGAAGGUGAAUUGGACAAUUGUAUGGACAAUGUUUUAGCAAGAUAUCCACAUUUUCCU